GACGAACCGUAGGAACGUUAUUCGGAAUCACUGGGCUUAAAGGGUGCGUAGGCGGCGCGGAAAGUUGGGUGUGAAAUCCCUCGGCUUAACCGAGGAACUGCGCUCAAAACUACCGUGCUCGAGGGAGACAGAGGUGAGCGGAACUUAGGGUGGAGCGGUGAAAUGCGUUGAUAUCCUAAGGAACACCGGUGGCGAAAGCGGCUCACUGGGUCUCUUCUGACGCUGAGGCACGAAAGCUAGGGGAGCGAACGGG
RNAcentral lists this ribosomal RNA (253 nucleotides) under uncultured bacterium. RNAcentral's name for it is "partial 16S ribosomal RNA". It matches the Rfam family "Bacterial small subunit ribosomal RNA", at positions 524 to 776 of the family's 1533-position model. The record is from RNAcentral.